Molecule: ribosomal RNA, 301 nt
Filed under: uncultured bacterium
Lineage: Bacteria
Description: partial 16S ribosomal RNA
Rfam family: Bacterial small subunit ribosomal RNA
Source: RNAcentral
CAGCAGCCGCGGUAAUACAGAGGGUGCGAGCGUUAAUCGGAUUUACUGGGCGUAAAGCGUGCGUAGGCGGCUUCUUAAGUCGGAUGUGAAAUCCCUGAGCUUAACUUAGGAAUUGCAUUCGAUACUGGGAACCUAGAGUAUGGGAGAGGAUGGUAGAAUUCCAGGUGUAGCGGUGAAAUGCGUAGAGAUCUGGAGGAAUACCGAUGGCGAAGGCAGCCAUCUGGCCUAAUACUGACGCUGAGGUACGAAAGCAUGGGGAGCAAACAGGAUUAGAUACCCCUGUAGUCCCUGUCUCUUAUAC